CAGCCGCCGCGGGAAUACGGAGGGUGCAAGCGUUAAUCGGAAUUACUGGGCGUAAAGCGCACGCAGGCGGUCUGACAAGUCAGAUGUGAAAUCCCCGGGCUUAACCUGGGAACUGCAUUUGAAACUGUCAGGCUGGAGUCUUGUAGAGGGGGGUGGAAUUCCAGGUGUAGCGGUGAAAUGCGUAGAGAUCUGGAGGAAUACCGGUGGCGAAGGCGGCCCCCUGGACAAAGACUGACGCUCAGGUGCGAAAGCGUGGGGAGCAAACAGGAUUAGAGACCCCAGUAGUCCCUGUCUCUUAUAC
This 301-nucleotide ribosomal RNA is filed under the name uncultured bacterium. Its description in RNAcentral is "partial 16S ribosomal RNA". It matches the Rfam family "Bacterial small subunit ribosomal RNA", at positions 509 to 807 of the family's 1533-position model. The record is from RNAcentral.